UUUAAUUUCCAUUACCUUGAACGGUCUUGGGGUUGAAAGGUGAAAUGAUGAAUCUUUAGAGUAAGGAGCUUUGGAGUUAUAUACUGAAUGCAAAGCUCUGCGCCGCUUGCUAGUUUCAUCUCUCUCCGCUAGAUAGCAUUACCCGAUUUCACAAAUCAGCGCCGGCGCGACAGCCGCUACUGGCCGAAACAACACGCGGGUAAGUAUCUUGAAUUCAGUUUUCGAUGGUCGCUCGACGGUGAGGAGCUACGCCGUGUCUCCCGUACUUCGUCCCGUAACUCAAAACUUUUCGGAUCGUAAACACAACUGUUUCUAUUCAAAAUGUGAAAUGUUACGCGCUUACUAACAGUUCCGAUUGUAAUCAGUUCCAAAUUAGUCGAAAUUCUCAGUUUUUUCCGCGAUCGGCGUUGGGUUUUGGGUUUGUUUACAUUCACUUUCCGGUUUCCGGUAACCUAAAGUGUGUUUUGUUCGCGAACGGAUUUGGAUACGAUGCUCUAAACUUGGAUACAGUGACCUCAACUUGGAUGUACAGUGUCUGAUAGUGUGACUCAAGUUUCACCUGGAAACUGAGUGUGUGUCUCACCGGGUGUUUGAGUGUUGUGUUUUAUGCCCCCGUUUCGAAGUUUGACAUGUGAGAUCAGAAUGUGUCACGAUGCAUCGUUACUUCAGAAUUUCCAUCAUCCUGCUGGCUGUCUUCGUGUUCCAGCUGCAUGUGUUUGGACUCGACGCCGAAAAUGAAGAGGGCGAGUCGAUGAGCCUGGAGCCGAUGUACGACCGGAUGACGCGGCACCGCUCGAUCAAGCGGGUGCCGACCAACUACAGAGGGAAGCUGGGCGUCCGGUGGCGGAGACAGAACGAGCGCGGGGUGGGCGCCGGAGCGGGCGUCGGGGGGCGCCUUAAGAAAACGGCCGCCGCCCACCAGAACGGCCACGGCCCGCCGCUACCUCCGCUAGACGACGAGGCACCCCCGGAGAUGAUCUACCUCAACUCAAACGCCAGCGCUCUCUACCACUCUAAAGAGAAGCAGAACAAAAUCGGCAAAAACUUCCGCUCGUGGACUGAGGUGAGCAGCUAUUCAAAUCUAUUUGAAUAUAUUCGCAGAAAGAUUGGGAUGCCCCAUUCCCAACUCAGCUUAUCAUCGUGGCACCUGCCGAAAAUGUGAACA
RNAcentral lists this long non-coding RNA (1165 nucleotides) under Bemisia tabaci. RNAcentral describes it as "lncRNA ENSSSA2NGG001320". The record is from RNAcentral. Lineage: Eukaryota; Metazoa; Arthropoda; Insecta; Hemiptera; Aleyrodidae.